Pelobates cultripes (western spadefoot toad) is the source of this 479-nucleotide non-coding RNA. The record is from the annotation of a GenBank genome assembly. NCBI's taxonomy places the organism in Eukaryota, Metazoa, Chordata, Amphibia, Anura, Pelobatidae.
UGGCUUUUAUUCACCAGAGUGUGAAUUUACACAAUUAGCAAUAUUUUACAUUAUAUCGGAAUUAAAACAAUAACCAGCUAUGGGUUUGGUUUCACAACUGGGUCCUAGAUUUUGAGAUCCAAUAUCCAACAGCAAGGAAAAAGUUUAUCUGAAUCGAUUAGCAGGAAAAGCAUCAGAUCAUUACCGGACUAAAACUACCACAUGCUGUCAAAACGUGGGUAAAAUUGUGGAAAGAAAAGCCCCAAUAAAAAUAUUUGCUAAACGCAAAUGGGUUGGCAUCACUUGUAUUCUCAGAUAAACUGCAUAUCCAAUGGUCACUUCUAUUUUAUUUAAAAAGUAAACAAACAAACAAAAAAAAGUAUAGCCAGCUGGUUAUUUACUUCUAAACUUUUUGUUUAGUAUCCAAGCGGUCUCUGAAUCAGUUAACCAAGAUAGAUUCAAGAGAAUAUUUGGUGAUUUCAAUAAAAAAAACUUCAGCA